RNAcentral lists this ribosomal RNA (2882 nucleotides) under Burkholderia pyrrocinia. Its description in RNAcentral is "23S ribosomal RNA". It matches the Rfam family "Bacterial large subunit ribosomal RNA". The record is from RNAcentral. Lineage: Bacteria; Pseudomonadati; Pseudomonadota; Betaproteobacteria; Burkholderiales; Burkholderiaceae.
GGUCAAGCGAACAAGUGCAUGUGGUGGAUGCCUUGGCGAUCACAGGCGAUGAAGGACGCGGUAGCCUGCGAAAAGCUACGGGGAGCUGGCAAACGAGCUUUGAUCCGUAGAUGUCCGAAUGGGGAAACCCGGCCCUUUUGGGUCAUCCUGGACUGAAUACAUAGGUCCAGUGAAGCGAACGCGGUGAACUGAAACAUCUAAGUAACCGCAGGAAAAGAAAUCAACCGAGAUUCCCAAAGUAGUGGCGAGCGAAAUGGGAUGAGCCUUGCACUCUUUAUUUGUAUUGUUAGCCGAACGCUCUGGAAAGUGCGGCCAUAGCAGGUGAUAGCCCUGUAGGCGAAAACAGUAUGAAAGAACUAGGUGUGCGACAAGUAGGGCGGGACACGUGAAAUCCUGUCUGAAGAUGGGGGGACCAUCCUCCAAGGCUAAAUACUCGUGAUCGACCGAUAGUGAACCAGUACCGUGAGGGAAAGGCGAAAAGAACCCCGGGAGGGGAGUGAAAUAGAUCCUGAAACCGCAUGCAUACAAACAGUCGGAGCCUCGUAAGGGGUGACGGCGUACCUUUUGUAUAAUGGGUCAGCGACUUACGUUCAGUAGCAAGCUUAACCGUAUAGGGCAGGCGUAGCGAAAGCGAGUCCGAAUAGGGCGUUCAGUUGCUGGGCGUAGACCCGAAACCAAGUGAUCUAUCCAUGGCCAGGAUGAAGGUGCGGUAACACGUACUGGAGGUCCGAACCCACUAACGUUGAAAAGUUAGGGGAUGAGCUGUGGAUAGGGGUGAAAGGCUAAACAAACUUGGAAAUAGCUGGUUCUCUCCGAAAACUAUUUAGGUAGUGCCUCGUGUCUCACCUUCGGGGGUAGAGCACUGUCAUGGUGGGGGGGUCUAUUGCAGAUUCCCCCGCCAUAGCAAACUCCGAAUACCGAAGAGUGCAAUCACGGGAGACAGACAUCGGGUGCUAACGUCCGGUGUCAAGAGGGAAACAACCCAGACCGCCAGCUAAGGUCCCCAAAUAUAGCUAAGUGGGAAACGAAGUGGGAAGGCUAAAACAGUCAGGAGGUUGGCUUAGAAGCAGCCACCCUUUAAAGAAAGCGUAAUAGCUCACUGAUCGAGUCGUCCUGCGCGGAAGAUGUAACGGGGCUAAGCUAUAUACCGAAGCUGCGGAUGCGUGCUUUGCACGCAUGGUAGGAGAGCGUUCCGUAAGCCUGCGAAGGUGCGUUGAAAAGCGUGCUGGAGGUAUCGGAAGUGCGAAUGCUGACAUGAGUAGCGAUAAAGGGGGUGAAAGGCCCCCUCGCCGUAAGCCCAAGGUUUCCUACGCAACGUUCAUCGGCGUAGGGUGAGUCGGCCCCUAAGGCGAGGCAGAAAUGCGUAGCUGAUGGGAAGCAGGUCAAUAUUCCUGCACCAUUGUUAGAUGCGAUGGGGGGGGACGGAUCGCGGAAGGUUGUCCGGGUGUUGGAAGUCCCGGUCGCUGCAUUGGAGAAGGCGCUUAGGCAAAUCCGGGCGCGUAAUUCAAGGGUGCGGCGCGAGCUCCUUAGGGAGCGAAGCAAUUGGAAGUGGUUCCAAGAAAAGCCUCUAAGCUUCAGUCUAACGAUGACCGUACCGCAAACCGACACAGGUGGGCGAGAUGAGUAUUCUAAGGCGCUUGAGAGAACUCGGGAGAAGGAACUCGGCAAAUUGGUACCGUAACUUCGGGAUAAGGUACGCCCUUGUAGCUUGACUGGCCUGCGCCAGGAGGGUGAAGGGGUUGCAAUAAACUGGUGGCUGCGACUGUUUAAUAAAAACACAGCACUCUGCAAACACGAAAGUGGACGUAUAGGGUGUGACGCCUGCCCGGUGCCGGAAGAUUAAAUGAUGGGGUGCAAGCUCUUGAUUGAAGUCCCGGUAAACGGCGGCCGUAACUAUAACGGUCCUAAGGUAGCGAAAUUCCUUGUCGGGUAAGUUCCGACCUGCACGAAUGGCGUAACGAUGGCCACACUGUCUCCUCCCGAGACUCAGCGAAGUUGAAGUGUUUGUGAUGAUGCAAUCUACCCGCGGCUAGACGGAAAGACCCCAUGAACCUUUACUGUAGCUUUGCAUUGGACUUUGAACCGAUCUGUGUAGGAUAGGUGGGAGGCUAUGAAACCGGAACGCUAGUUUCGGUGGAGCCGUCCUUGAAAUACCACCGGUUUGUUUGAGGUUCUAACCUUGGCCCGUGAUCCGGGUCGGGGACAGUGCAUGGUAGGCAGUUUGACUGGGGCGGUCUCCUCCCAAAGCGUAACGGAGGAGUACGAAGGUACGCUAGGUACGGUCGGAAAUCGUGCUGAUAGUGCAAUGGCAUAAGCGUGCUUAACUGCGAGACCGACAAGUCGAGCAGGUGCGAAAGCAGGUCAUAGUGAUCCGGUGGUUCUGUAUGGAAGGGCCAUCGCUCAACGGAUAAAAGGUACUCUGGGGAUAACAGGCUGAUACCGCCCAAGAGUUCAUAUCGACGGCGGUGUUUGGCACCUCGAUGUCGGCUCAUCUCAUCCUGGGGCUGUAGCCGGUCCCAAGGGUAUGGCUGUUCGCCAUUUAAAGAGGUACGUGAGCUGGGUUUAAAACGUCGUGAGACAGUUUGGUCCCUAUCUGCCGUGGGCGUUGGAUAUUUGAAGGGGGCUGCUCCUAGUACGAGAGGACCGGAGUGGACGAACCUCUGGUGUACCGGUUGUCACGCCAGUGGCAUCGCCGGGUAGCUAUGUUCGGAAGAGAUAACCGCUGAAAGCAUCUAAGCGGGAAACUCGCCUUAAGAUGAGAUAUCCCUGGGGACUAGAUCCCCUUGAAGGGUCGUUCGAGACCAGGACGUUGAUAGGUCAGGUGUGUAAGCGCAGUAAUGCGUUCAGCUAACUGAUACUAAUUGCCCGUAAGGCUUGAUCCU